UAGAGGUAUAUUUAAUAUUUAUUUAUUAUUAGAGUUCAAGUCCUGAUGGACUCUGGGUGAAACUCUAUAAAUAGGGAUGUAACUGCUUCUUUUCAGUAAUCUAUAAAAAAUACUAUUGUCUUUGGACAAACCCUAGGAGGUCGAUCCCCUCGAAGUGAUCAAGGAGGGCCGAUCCCCUCGAAGAGAUCAAGGAGGGCCGAUCCCCUCGAAGCGAUCAAGGAGGCCGAUCCCCUCGAAGCGAUCAUUAUCAUCCCCAUUUCUCCCC
RNAcentral lists this long non-coding RNA (265 nucleotides) under Musa acuminata (dwarf banana). RNAcentral's name for it is "long non-coding RNA (MACU_LNC006596)". Lineage: Eukaryota; Viridiplantae; Streptophyta; Magnoliopsida; Zingiberales; Musaceae. The record is from RNAcentral.